Molecule: long non-coding RNA, 877 nt
Organism: Panthera uncia (snow leopard)
Lineage: Eukaryota; Metazoa; Chordata; Mammalia; Carnivora; Felidae
Exons: 3
Source: RefSeq, a predicted model, not a curated record
UUGGAACAUGAGGUAGAAGGAACUCUGAACAGUUCUGUCAGCUGGAGCCAUGGGAAAAAAAAUAAAUUCCUUACUAAAGUCUUGCUUGAUGACAGAUGUGUCCCAUGGAAUUCAAGUUGGUGCCAAAUGGAAGACCCUUCUGAAGCCAAACCAUUUUUGUGACUAUCUUGUUACCUGUUGUCUUCCACCUGUUGUUAGGUGGUCUCUUUUAGCCUAUGACUAAAGAGCCUUGAGAUCAUCCUUCUUUGCUCAGGCCUAGCCUGCUACCAAAUGUGCUCUAACUACUUACCUAGAUGUCAAAACUGAUAAAAUAAACCAUCAUCAAUUGACAAUGAUAAAAUUAUGAAGAAGCAUUACACAUGUAACAUAAAAUCAUGCUUGCUCCAAAAUAGCUGACUUCCUCAGGAAGACUGUUUUUGAUUAGAACAAAGAAAAUACACCAGGACUUUGCCAUUUAGAAACAACCAUCAUGUUUUCUUCUUCUUCCCCCACUCCCUCCUCCUCCUCCCUCCUUCUUCCUACCCCCACCCUUUUUUAUAGAGGAGAUGAUUAUAUCAUGUAUGUACUGCUGUUAUGAUCUGAAAUAUUAAAUCUCCAACUUCCAAAUUUUCUUUUAGUUUACUAUCCCCUGAGCUUGAAUUUAUGUCUUUGAUCAGUAUGAAAACGCCUGCUGUCAUCCUGGGCAACAUCAGUUUUAGCCUGGAGGCUCCUGUAUCAACUUUUCAAGGACAUUUGAAUUUCAAGCUCUAGCUAUCCAAAAUGGGUGGAACACAGGGUAACCUACAGGUGAAAGAUACCGCACAGAAAGUAUUACAAGGCUUUUCUGGGAGAUGUAAAAAGACUCAAAUAAUGAAGAGGGUAGCAUGGUUCUUGGAUG